GUCGAGGGGCAGCACAGGUAGCAAUACCGGGUGGCGACCGGCGCACGGGUGAGUAACGCGUAUGCAACUUGCCUAUCAGAGGGGGAUAACCCGGCGAAAGUCGGACUAAUACCGCAUGAAGCAGGGGCCCCGCAUGGGGAUAUUUGCUAAAGAUUCAUCGCUGAUAGAUAGGCAUGCGUUCCAUUAGGCAGUUGGCGGGGUAACGGCCCACCAAACCGACGAUGGAUAGGGGUUCUGAGAGGAAGGUCCCCCACAUUGGUACUGAGACACGGACCAAACUCCUACGGGAGGCAGCAGUGAGGAAUAUUGGUCAAUGGGCGUAAGCCUGAACCAGCCAAGUCGCGUGAGGGAUGAAGGUUCUAUGGAUCGUAAACCUCUUUUAUAAGGGAAUAAAGUGCGGGACGUGUCCCGUUUUGUAUGUACCUUAUGAAUAAGGAUCGGCUAACUCCGUGCCAGCAGCCGCGGUAAUACGGAGGAUCCGAGCGUUAUCCGGAUUUAUUGGGUUUAAAGGGUGCGUAGGCGGCCUUUUAAGUCAGCGGUGAAAGUCUGUGGCUCAACCAUAGAAUUGCCGUUGAAACUGGGGGGCUUGAGUAUGUUUGAGGCAGGCGGAAUGCGUGGUGUAGCGGUGAAAUGCUUAGAUAUCACGCAGAACCCCGAUUGCGAAGGCAGCCUGCCAAGCCAUGACUGACGCUGAUGCACGAAAGCGUGGGGAUCAAACAGGAUUAGAUACCCUGGUAGUCCACGCAGUAAACGAUGAUCACUAGCUGUUUGCG
This 773-nucleotide ribosomal RNA is filed under the name uncultured bacterium. RNAcentral describes it as "bacterial SSU rRNA". It matches the Rfam family "Bacterial small subunit ribosomal RNA", at positions 61 to 828 of the family's 1533-position model. The record is from RNAcentral.